UACGUAGGGACCAAGCGUUGUUCGGAUUUACUGGGCGUAAAGGGCGCGUAGGCGGCAAUUCAAGUCAUCUGUGAAAUCUCCGGGCUUAACCCGGAACGGUCAGGUGAUACUGUUUUGCUAGAGUGCGGAAGGGGCAAUCGGAAUUCUCGGUGUAGCGGUGAAAUGCGUAGAUAUCGAGAGGAACACCAGAGGUGAAGGCGGGUUGCUGGGGCCGACACUGACGCUGACAGCGCGAAAGCCAGGGGAGCAAACGGG
Molecule: ribosomal RNA, 255 nt
Filed under: uncultured bacterium
Lineage: Bacteria
Description: partial 16S ribosomal RNA
Rfam family: Bacterial small subunit ribosomal RNA
Source: RNAcentral